This 250-nucleotide ribosomal RNA is filed under the name uncultured Oscillospiraceae bacterium. RNAcentral describes it as "partial 16S ribosomal RNA". It matches the Rfam family "Bacterial small subunit ribosomal RNA", at positions 524 to 773 of the family's 1533-position model. Lineage: Bacteria; Bacillati; Bacillota; Clostridia; Eubacteriales; Oscillospiraceae. The record is from RNAcentral.
UACGUAGGUGGCGAGCGUUAUCCGGAUUUACUGGGUGUAAAGGGCGUGUAGGCGGGACUGCAAGUCAGAUGUGAAAAUUAUGGGCUCAACCCAUAACCUGCAUUUGAAACUGUAGUUCUUGAGUGAUGGAGAGGCAGGCGGAAUUCCGUGUGUAGCGGUGAAAUGCGUAGAUAUACGGAGGAACACCAGUGGCGAAGGCGGCCUGCUGGACAUUAACUGACGCUGAGGCGCGAAAGCGUGGGGAGCAAAC